ACGGUUCAUUGCUAGUCAGAGAAUGUUUUGGUCUAACACUGUUAAUACAAACAUUCAUAGAGAUGGGCGGAUAUUGCACUACAAAAGAAGUUGUGGCCUUGUCUGUUCGGAACUGGCUAUUAACAAACAAAGAUACAACUGUUCAUUCCUUCCAAACACAGUCAUAUCCUAACUUAUUUCUCUCCUUCGCUAGCACGUCCGCAAUAGCAUUUGUACUCCCCAUCUCAUGGUGGACCGGUGAGUUCCCCAUUUGCUCCAGAAGAUUCCUGCAAAUGGAGAUUAAAUUAAUUUCAUCAAUAUUGCGUUCAAAAGGCCAUAUUCAUUAAGAGUUGUGACUAUUUUUUUGAAAUCAGUAGCAAUAACUACUUGAGUAAACUUCAUCUUGAUGGCUAGUUUAAUCCCCAUCACCAAGGCAAUCAUUUCGGCUUUCAAAGACUGAGUUAACAUUUAUAUUAGCACUGAAGCCUACCUACCAAUUCCCCUCAGUGUUCCUGAAGACACCUCCCGCACCCCCUUUUUUUGAAUUAUUGUGGGAGGAGUUGUCCACAUUCAAUUUUAUUCCUACAAGUGGGACUGACCAGCCCUCAUGGGCACAAGAGUACUCCUGCUGGCCUUUUCCUUAGCUGUCAAAAAAUGAUAUUCAACAGCUCUCUCACAGGCAACAUUAGUGGGAAUGUAAAGAUUAGUUUCAUUGAAGAUAUUGGAGUUUCGGUUGAGCCAUAUACACCAAAGAUAAAAGGGAAAAGCCUUUCUCCAAGUUAUAGUGUUUCUUAUCUUGAAAUUCCUAGUUUUCCUAAAACUAUCUAGCCAUUCCUCAUUGUGGAAAUUUGUAAUGUUGGUUAUUAAACUAGAUAGGUUGUUUUCUCUCCAGAAUUGGUGGACAUGCCUGCACUCCAGGAAAAUAUGCUUAAUGGUUUCAGGACUUUGACAAAGAGUACAAAGGGGGUCAAAAUCCCCAAAAAUAGAUUUUUUAUCAAAAAUUGGGUAACCAAUAAAAAUAUUUUCUUGUUAUGAAAUAAAAUAGCGGCAGAAAUAAAUUGUAAGAAAUGUAUUAUUUUUGUACUUUGUAUAUUUUUC
This 1077-nucleotide long non-coding RNA is filed under the name Capsicum annuum. RNAcentral describes it as "long non-coding RNA (CANN_LNC021238)". Lineage: Eukaryota; Viridiplantae; Streptophyta; Magnoliopsida; Solanales; Solanaceae. The record is from RNAcentral.